This 494-nucleotide ribosomal RNA is filed under the name uncultured bacterium. RNAcentral's name for it is "bacterial SSU rRNA". It matches the Rfam family "Bacterial small subunit ribosomal RNA", at positions 1 to 507 of the family's 1533-position model. The record is from RNAcentral.
GUAGUUUGACUCCGUGGCUACGAGGACGACGCUGGCGGCGUGCUUCAAACAUGCAAGUCGAACGGAGUUAAUUUAGCUUGCUAAAUUAACGUUAGUGGCGGACUGGUGAGUAACGCGUGAGUAAUCUGCCUAUUACACGGGGGAUAACAGUUGGAAACGACUGCUAAUACCGCAUAAGACCACGGGAAGGCAUCUUCAAGGGGUCCAAAGGGAUACUGGUAAUAGAUGAGCUUGCGUAUCAUUAGCUAGAUGGUGAGGGUAAAGGCCCACCAUGGCGACGAUGAUUAGCCGAUCUGAGAGGAUGACCGGCCACACUGGAACUGAGAUACGGUCCAGACUCCUACGGGAGGCAGCAGUUAGGAAUAUUGGGCAAUGGAGGAAACUCUGACCCAGCAACGCCGCGUGAAGGAAGAAGGUUUUCGGAUUGUAAACUUCUGAUCUUGGGGAAAAAGAAAGUGAUGGUACCCAAGGAGAAAGCCACGGCUAACUACGUA